CACGUAGUUAGCCGGUGCUUAUUCUUCAGGUACCGUCAUUACCCCAGGGUAUUAGCCCAGAGCGUUUCUUCCCUGACAAAAGCGGUUUACAACCCGAAGGCCUUCUUCCCGCACGCGGCAUGGCUGGAUCAGGCUUGCGCCCAUUGUCCAAAAUUCCCCACUGCUGCCUCCCGUAGGAGUCUGGGCCGUGUCUCAGUCCCAGUGUGGCUGGUCGUCCUCUCAGACCAGCUACAGAUCGUCGCCUUGGUAGGCCUUACCCCACCAACUAGCUAAUCUGACAUCGGCCGCUCCAAAAGCGCGAGGUCUUGCGAUCCCCCGCUUUCACCCUCAGGUCUCAUGCGGUAUUAAUCCGGCUUUCGCCGGGCUAUCCCCCACUUCUGGGCACGUUCCGAUGCAUUACUCACCCGUUCGCCACUCGUCGCCAGGUUGCCCCGCGUUACCGUUCGACUUGCAUGUGUAAGGCAUGCCGCCAGCGUUCAAUCUGAGCCAGGAUCAAACUCU
This 501-nucleotide ribosomal RNA is filed under the name uncultured Burkholderiales Genera incertae sedis bacterium. RNAcentral describes it as "partial 16S ribosomal RNA". The record is from RNAcentral. Lineage: Bacteria; Pseudomonadati; Pseudomonadota; Betaproteobacteria; Burkholderiales.